This 109-nucleotide ribosomal RNA is filed under the name Salmonella enterica subsp. enterica serovar Infantis. The record is from RNAcentral. Lineage: Bacteria; Pseudomonadati; Pseudomonadota; Gammaproteobacteria; Enterobacterales; Enterobacteriaceae. RNAcentral also lists the same sequence under 44 other names.
GCACUAGCGCGGUGGUCCCACCUGACCCCAUGCCGAACUCAGAAGUGAAACGCCGUAGCGCCGAUGGUAGUGUGGGGUCUCCCCAUGCGAGAGUAGGGAACUGCCAGGC